Molecule: ribosomal RNA, 319 nt
Filed under: uncultured Methylobacterium sp.
Lineage: Bacteria; Pseudomonadati; Pseudomonadota; Alphaproteobacteria; Hyphomicrobiales; Methylobacteriaceae
Description: bacterial SSU rRNA
Rfam family: Bacterial small subunit ribosomal RNA
Source: RNAcentral
UUUGAUCCUGGCUCAGAGCGAACGCUGGCGGCAGGCUUAACACAUGCAAGUCGAGCGGGCCCUUCGGGGUCAGCGGCAGACGGGUGAGUAACGCGUGGGAACGUGCCCUUCGGUUCGGAAUAACCCUGGGAAACUAGGGCUAAUACCGGAUACGCCCCUUGGGGGAAAGGUUUACUGCCGAAGGAUCGGCCCGCGUCUGAUUAGCUAGUUGGUGAGGUAACGGCUCACCAAGGCGACGAUCAGUAGCUGGUCUGAGAGGAUGAUCAGCCACACUGGGACUGAGACACGGCCCAGACUCCUACGGGAGGCAGCAGAAGGG